GUGGGGAAUUUUGGACAAUGGGCGCAAGCCUGAUCCAGCAAUGCCGCGUGCAGGAAGAAGGCCUUCGGGUUGUAAACUGCUUUUGUACGGAACGAAACGGCUCUGGUUAAUACCCGGGGCUAAUGACGGUACCGUAAGAAUAAGCACCGGCUAACUACGUGCCAGCAGCCGCGGUAAUACGUAGGGUGCGAGCGUUAAUCGGAAUUACUGGGCGUAAAGCGUGCGCAGGCGGUUUUGUAAGACAGGCGUGAAAUCCCCGGGCUCAAGCUGGGAAUGGCGCUUGUGACUGCAAAGCUGGAGUGCGGCAGAGGGGGAUGGAAUUCCGCGUGUAGCAGUGAAAUGCGUAGAUAUGCGGAGGAACACCGAUGGCGAAGGCAAUCCCCUGGGCCUGCACUGACGCUCAUGCACGAAAGCGUGGGGAGCAAACAGGAUUAGAAACCCCUGUAGUCC
Molecule: ribosomal RNA, 450 nt
Filed under: uncultured bacterium
Lineage: Bacteria
Description: partial 16S ribosomal RNA
Rfam family: Bacterial small subunit ribosomal RNA
Source: RNAcentral